This 2741-nucleotide long non-coding RNA is filed under the name Calidris pugnax (ruff). Its description in RNAcentral is "lncRNA (ENSCPUG00000001867.1)". Lineage: Eukaryota; Metazoa; Chordata; Aves; Charadriiformes; Scolopacidae. The record is from RNAcentral.
GGGGGACAGGGCUGGCACCGGUGCCCGGCGCGGUGACGGUGACGACACGGUGACACCCGGCGGGGUGUUGUCCCUCCCCCUGGUGGUGCCCGGGGGGGGCGGUGGUGGCAGUCACACGGCGGGUGACACCAGCACGGUGACAGUGUCCUGGUGUGGUGGUUGUGGUGGUGCCCAGCGUGCGGUUGUGCCAGCUCACGGCGGUUGUGCCCGGCGCAGGGGUUGUGCCCCGGCUGUAGCCGCGUGGCACGGCGGUGUCUGGCUCGGCAACACCCCCCCUGUGCCGGUGAUGCCCGUCCCGGUGGCACCCAGUCCGGUGGGGAUGCUCAUCCCAGUGGUACCCAGUCCGAUGGUGGUGGCCUCCCCGGUGACACCCAGUCCGGUGGUGAUGCCCAUCCCGGUGGUACCGGGUCCGGUGGUGAUGCUGGGCAUGAUGGUAUCCAGUCCGGUGGUGAUGCUGGGUACCCACAUGUUCAGCCUGGCACAUGCGUGUGCUCUCUCCAUUCCCAGCCUGGCACACAUGUGUGCUCCCUCCCAUGCCCAGCCUGGCACACCUGUGUGCUCCCCCUCAUGCCUGGCACGCAUGUGUGCUCCCCAUCCAUAUGUGACUGGCACACGCAUGUGCUCUCCUCAUACCCAGCCUGGCACACACAUGUUCUCUCUCCAUUCCCAGCUUGGCACACACGUGUGCUCCCCAUCAUGCCUGGCACACGUGUGUGCUCCCCUCAUACCCAGCCUGGCACACCUGUGUGCUCCCCCUCGUGCCUGGCACACGUGUGUGCUCCCCAUCCAUACCCGACUGGCACAUGUGUGUGCUCCCCUCUGUGCCCAGCAUGGCACACGCGUGUGUCCCUCCCAUGCCCAGCUUGGUGCACACGUGUGCUCCCUCUCGUGCCUGGCACAUGCGUGUGCCGUCUCCCUUCCCAGCCUGGCACACAUGUGUGUGCUCCCCUCUGUGCCCAGCAUGGCACACGCGUGUGUCCCAAGUCUGGUGGUGAUUCCAGACUGGGUGACAACCAGUUUGGUGGUGAUGCCCAUCCCAGCGGUCCCCAGUCUGGUGGUGAUGCUGGGCAUGAUGGUACCCAGUCCGGUGGCAAUUCCAGACCGGGUGACACCCAGUUUGGUGGUGACAUCCAUCCCGAUUGUCCCCAGUCUGGUGGUACCCAAUGCCCUCUCCCUUCCCAGCCUGGCACACGUGUGUGCUCUCUCCAUUCCCAGCCUGGCACACGUGUGUGCUCCCCCUCAUGCCUGGCACACACGUGUGCUCUGCCUCGUUCCUGGCACAUGCGUGUGCCCUCUCCCUUUGUUGUGCCCCGGCUGUAGCCGCGUGGCACGGCGGUGUCUGGCUCGGCAACACCCCCCCUGUGCCGGUGAUGCCCGUCCCGGUGGCACCCAGUCCGGUGGGGAUGCUCAUCCCAGUGGUACCCAGUCCGAUGGUGGUGGCCUCCCCGGUGACACCCAGUCCGGUGGUGAUGCCCAUCCCGGUGGUACCGGGUCCGGUGGUGAUGCUGGGCAUGAUGGUAUCCAGUCCGGUGGUGAUGCUGGGUACCCAAGUCUGGUGGUGAUUCCAGACUGGGUGACAACCAGUUUGGUGGUGAUGCUGGGCAUGAUGGUACCCAGUCCGGUGGCAAUUCCAGACCGGGUGACACCCAGUUUGGUGGUGACAUCCAUCCCGAUUGUCCCCAGUCUGGUGGUACCCAAUCCGGUGGUGAUGCUGGGCAUGAUGGUACCAGUCUGGUGGUGAUUCCAGACUGGGUGACACCCAGUUUGGUGGUGAUGCUGGGUACCCAGUCCAGUGGUGAUUCCAGACUGGGUGACACCCAGUCCGGUGGUGAUGCUGGGCAUGGUGGUACCAGUCCAGUGGUGGUGACAGGCACGGUGACACCCAGUUUGAUGGUGAUUCCAGGCACGGUGACACUCAGUUUGGUGGUGAUGCCCAUCCCAGUGGUACCCAGUCCGGUGGUGAUGCUGGGUAUGGUGGUACUGAGGCCGAUGGUGAUGCCAGGCAUGAUGGUACCCAGUCGGGUGGUGAUUCCAGGCACGGUGACACCCAGUCCAGUGGUGAUGCUGGGCUUGAUGGUACCAGUCUGGUGGUGAUUCCAGGCAUAGUGACACCCAGUUUGGUAGUCCCCAGUCUUGUGGUACCCAGUCCGGUGGUGAUGCUGGGCAUGAUGGUACCCAGUUUGGUCGUGGUGACAGGCACAGUGACACCCAGUUUGGUGGCGAUUCCAGGCACGGUGACACCCAGUCCGGUGGUGAUGCUGGGUACCCAGUCGGGUGGUGAUUCCAGACUGGGUGACCCCCAGUCCGGUGGUGAUGCCCAUCCUGUGGUCCCCAGUCCGGUGGUGAUGCUGGGCACGAUGGUACCAGUCCAGUGGUGGUGACAGGCAUGGUGGUACCCAGUCGGGUGGUGAUUCCAGACUGGGUGACACCCAGUCGGGUGGUGAUGCCCAUCCCAGUGGUACCCAGUCUGGUGGUGAUGCUGGGCAUGGUGGUACCCAGUCCGGUGGUGGUGACGGGCACGGUGACACCCAGUUUGGUGGUGAUGCCCAUCCCAGUGGUACCCAGUCCGAUGGUGAUGCUGGGCAUGGUGGUAUCCAGUUGGGUGGUGAUUCCAGACUGGGUAACACCCAGCUCGGUGGUGAUGCCCAUCCUGUGGUACCCAGUUGGGUGGUGAUGCUGGGCAUGGUGGUACCCCGUGAUGCUGGGCAUGAUGGUACUGAGGCUGGUGGUGAUGCUGGGCA